This 641-nucleotide ribosomal RNA is filed under the name uncultured bacterium. RNAcentral describes it as "bacterial SSU rRNA". It matches the Rfam family "Bacterial small subunit ribosomal RNA", at positions 152 to 779 of the family's 1533-position model. The record is from RNAcentral.
GGAAACAGGUGCUAAUACCGUAUAACAACUGAAACCGCAUGGUUUCAGUUUGAAAGAUGGUUUCGGCUAUCACUUCUGGAUGGACCCGCGGCGUAUUAGCUAGUUGGUGGAGUAAUGGUUCACCAAGGCAAUGAUACGUAGUCGACCUGAGAGGGUAAUCGGCCACAUUGGGACUGAGACACGGCCCAAACUCCUACGGGAGGCAGCAGUAGGGAAUCUUCCACAAUGGACGAAAGUCUGAUGGAGCAACGCCGCGUGAGUGAAGAAGGGUUUCGGCUCGUAAAACUCUGUUGUUGAAGAAGAACACAUCUGAGAGUAACUGUUCAGGUGUUGACGGUAUUUAACCAGAAAGCCACGGCUAACUACGUGCCAGCAGCCGCGGUAAUACGUAGGUGGCAAGCGUUGUCCGGAUUUAUUGGGCGUAAAGCGAGCGCAGGCGGUUUCUUAAGUCUGAUGUGAAAGCCUUCGGCUUAACCGGAGAAGUGCAUCGGAAACUGGGAGACUUGAGUGCAGAAGAGGACAGUGGAACUCCAUGUGUAGCGGUGAAAUGCGUAGAUAUAUGGAAGAACACCAGUGGCGAAGGCGGCUGUCUGGUCUGUAACUGACGCUGAGGCUCGAAAGCAUGGGUAGCGAACAGGAUU